This 517-nucleotide long non-coding RNA is filed under the name Meriones unguiculatus (Mongolian gerbil). RNAcentral's name for it is "lncRNA (ENSMUGG00000019820.1)". The record is from RNAcentral. Lineage: Eukaryota; Metazoa; Chordata; Mammalia; Rodentia; Muridae.
CUAAUACACAGCAAUGGCGUCAGGUAGAGUUAAGUAGCUUCCCCAGGGUCCAGCAGGUGGAAAGCCAGAGUUGGAAGCCUUAAUCGACUUUCAGAUCAUGUGCGCUUAAAAACCGCGGUGCAGUUUUGCCUUGAGAGAAAUGAGGAGAGCGAGCGAGGGAGGAAAGAAAGGGACCGGGCUUGAUGACUGCAACAAAGAUGGAGGAGCCGGGAGAGGAGAAGGACCUGGUUAUCAGCUUCAGAGCUGGUGUCCCACUGUCCUUCCCUUCUGGAGAGCAGUGUCUCAUUAGUGAUGACGGGACUCAGGCAAGACUCCUCAUGAACCCAGUUAAGACCUGUGGGAGACAUGCAACUUGGCACGAUUCACAGCUGCUCUUGCUGACUUUGCCCGCAAGAGGAAUCUGGAGGGGAAUGGCCUGAAGUCACGACAAAAGCACCACUUCUGGAACCCAUGGACACUGAUGUCACUAGCCUGACUGUGCUGCCAUAAUCCCUUCUAUAAAAAUAAAUUGUUCACC